AUUGAACGCUGGCGGCAUGCCUUACACAUGCAAGUCGAACGGCAGCAUGGAGGAGCUUGCUCCUCUGAUGGCGAGUGGCGAACGGGUGAGUAAAGCAUCGGAACGUACCGUGUAGUGGGGGAUAACGUAGCGAAAGUUACGCUAAUACCGCAUACGCACUGAGGUGGAAAGCAGGGGAUCGCAAGACCUUGCGCUAUACGAGCGGCCGAUGUCAGAUUAGCUAGUUGGUAGGGUAAAGGCCUACCAAGGCGACGAUCUGUAGCGGGUCUGAGAGGAUGAUCCGCCACACUGGGACUGAGACACGGCCCAGACUCCUACGGGAGGCAGCAGUGGGGAAUUUUGGACAAUGGACGCAAGCCUGAUCCAGCCAUGCCGCGUGUGGGAAGAAGGCCUUC
Molecule: ribosomal RNA, 395 nt
Filed under: uncultured bacterium
Lineage: Bacteria
Description: bacterial SSU rRNA
Rfam family: Bacterial small subunit ribosomal RNA
Source: RNAcentral